Molecule: unclassified non-coding RNA, 334 nt
Filed under: soil metagenome
Description: partial contains 5.8S ribosomal RNA, internal transcribed spacer 2, and large subunit ribosomal RNA
Rfam family: 5.8S ribosomal RNA (bases 1-120)
Source: RNAcentral
GAUGAAGAACGUAGCGAAAUGCGAUACGUAAUGUGAAUUGCAGAAUUCAGUGAAUCAUCGAAUCUUUGAACGCACAUUGCGCCCGCCAGCACUCUGGCGGGCAUGCCUGUUCGAGCGUCAUUUCAACCAUCAAGCCCCAGGCUUGCGUUGGAGCCCUGCGGCUGCCGCAGCCUCCUAAAAGCAGUGGCGGGCUCGCUAUCACACCGAGUGCAGUAGAUUACUCUUCGCUCAGGGCGUGCAGCGGGUUCCGGCCGUGAAACCCCCUACUUUUAAAGGUUGACCUCGGAUCAGGUAGGAACACCCGCUGAACUUAAGCAUAUCAAUAAGCGGAGGA